GGGUGAGAAAGCCCCACUCACUCUGCAGCAGAAAUUAAGGGUUGAUCCGGAAAUGAGGCGACAGUCGGAACUGGCGAAUUGGACUGGACCAGGGGAAGCCCCGGCGCGCUGCAGCUCCUACAAGUGCCUUUCCCCUCCUUUUAUCUUCCAUGAGGAUGAACUUUGCAGAAUUCAAAAGCUUGAACGCGAGUUUGUGACAUUUGAACAGAUCCGAGAAAAUGAUAUUCCUACAACAGGAUUUUAAUCCCUUCUUCUGUAUGCAGAACAGGGCUGCAUUUCCAUAUUGAAGACGGGGAAUAAAACCGCCCCAGCCCUGCACUCAUUUGUGAAUAGAGCCUUAUUCAAACGUCGCCCUAAACACCCUAGCUACUGUAUUAGUGGACAAGUCGACCCUCUACUAGUUGAACGAGAGAACGCUUCCUAUUUGGGGCCGUCACUGUCGCUGUCCCUUCAGCACCACGCAGAAAGGGAAAACGCUUCUUUCGGAAUGAACAUUUCUGCCUGGGCAACUUCCAAACGCUAACACUGUUAUGGACUUGACAAAUGCUUCAACCCCAUUUGGUUAGAUAGUGGAUCCUAGACGUUUCUAUCAAGAUCAACUUCCUUACUCUCUACAUUUGUGAAACUUUCUCUUUGCCACUGCUCCCCUCAAAAAAUUUCUUCAACCAGCACUUCAAAGAAACCUAUAAAUGCCUCCCUCUUGUGUAUGGAAAAGGCUAUUAGAUUUGGCACUUGGAUAGCAUGUUCGCUGUUCCACUCGAGUUUCUAUUGGACUUUUCAAUGCUCAGUUGAUGCUAUUCCAUAACAGAGCAAAUGAAUAUACAUAGCGUUACUUUGUAUUAUUGUGCUACCCUACUGAUUAUAAUUAUGUUUAUGAAAGGAGCUGUUUUGAAACAUCUUUAUUUACUGCAUCUGACUGAUACAAGGGUGAGCUGUUUGUUCCUUUGAAAUGCUUUAUGUGCCUGAAUUAUUUUAGCAGGAUUUGAGAGUGAAUAGCUCAAUACAAAAUGUGCUUCAAUUAAUAAUGGGUGUUUUUGUAACUCAUGUAUUACUUCAUUCCUGACAGUUUUACGGAAUGGGGAAAAACAGCGCACAGUGAUUGCGUCUCUGGGAAAGAAGCUAGUUCCCUCAAACUGAGUUCCCUCUCGCUUUAACAAGAUUUAUAAGGCGAAAAUAGGACAAGAACAUAGGAGCCUUAAUCAAUCACCAUUGAUCCAAUAACCUAUGUCAGUGAUGGCAAACCUUUUAGAGACCAAGUGCCCAAACUGCAACCCAAAACCCACUUAUUUAUUGCAAAGUGCCAGGGCUGCAUC
Long non-coding RNA from Crotalus tigris (Tiger rattlesnake), 1313 nucleotides. RefSeq lists it as uncharacterized. The record is from RefSeq and is a predicted model, not a curated record. NCBI's taxonomy places the organism in Eukaryota, Metazoa, Chordata, Lepidosauria, Squamata, Viperidae. The transcript is spliced from 3 exons.